This 665-nucleotide long non-coding RNA is filed under the name Mustela putorius furo (domestic ferret). RNAcentral's name for it is "lncRNA (ENSMPUG00000028258.1)". The record is from RNAcentral. Lineage: Eukaryota; Metazoa; Chordata; Mammalia; Carnivora; Mustelidae.
CUUGGGAACCAAAGAAAUAUACAUGAUAUAGAUGAAGAACCAGCGGGGACUACUAUGAGGAUUGAAUCAUCUCUUCAGUCUGGUGAAGCAGGAUUGGAAAGGAAGUAACAGGGGUAAAGUGCUCCUCCCAUCCCCAUACAAAAACAGUCUGCUCAGCAAGCCACGGGCCACCAUUGCUGGGAGUACACAGAAGUACAGCCAUAUACUGACUGUACUCCUACUGGGCUCUGCUGGCCAGGGUAAUCGCUGCCUUGCCGUUUGCAUCUACCCAUACACAGCAGUCGAAGUGACUAAUCUUUGACUGUCCCUGUGCUUUUACAUCUACCAGAUUCAGAUUCACAGGGGUACAGGAAUACUAUGCAGCCAUCAAAAGAAAUGAAAUCUUGCCAUUUGCGACAACAUGGAUGGAACUAGAGCGUAUCAUGCUUAGCGAAAUAAGUCAAGCAGAGAAAGACAACUAUCAUAUGAUCUCCCUGAUAUGAGGAAGUGGUGAUGCAACAUGGGGGCUUAAGUGGGUACGAGAAGAAUAAAGGAAAGAAGAUGGGAUUGGGAGGGAGACAAACCAUAAGUGACUCUUAAUCUCACAAAACAAACUGAGGGUUGCUGGGGGGAAGGGAUUUGGGAGAAGGGGGUGGAUUAUGGACAUUGGGGAGGGUAUGUGCUUU